UGCCAGCCGCCGCGGUAAUACGUAGGGUGCAAGCGUUGUCCGGAAUUAUUGGGCGUAAAGAGCUCGUAGGCGGUUCGUCGCGUCGGCUGUGAAAACCUGAGGCUCAACCUCAGGCCUGCAGUCGAUACGGGCGGACUUGAGUUCGGCAGGGGAGACUGGAAUUCCUGGUGUAGCGGUGAAAUGCGCAGAUAUCAGGAGGAACACCGGUGGCGAAGGCGGGUCUCUGGGCCGAAACUGACGCUGAGGAGCGAAAGCGUGGGGAGCGAACAGGAUUAGAUA
This 279-nucleotide ribosomal RNA is filed under the name uncultured bacterium. Its description in RNAcentral is "partial 16S ribosomal RNA". It matches the Rfam family "Bacterial small subunit ribosomal RNA", at positions 506 to 784 of the family's 1533-position model. The record is from RNAcentral.